UUUUAUGCGAUUGAUUCCGUCUCCUCAAAAUUCUGCUACUAAUUUUUAUUGCCUUGCUCAAAUAUGCUAUUUCCUUACUUUUCCCCCUUUUUUUUUGUUAAAGAUUCUUUCAUCGCCUUAAAAUUAGGGUUUCAAGCUCUGGUUUUCAGGAAUUAGGGUUCCCUUUUUUCGAGGUCAUCAGGAAUUGGUGCGUCUAUGAUAAACGCAAACAGCCAUCGAUAAAUGCUGAUCGGCGCCACCGUUUACUGUCUAUAGUGACCAAGGAUUUUCAGUUGAUGUCGUCGGUUAUCGUUGGUCUCUCUGGCAUUGAUCGUCCUCAUACUUCCCUGAUAUGUUCUGUUGCUGGGAAAGAGAUGGUGGAUGCAAUUAUCAAGAAUGAGACUGCAGGGUAUGUAAAGAUAGAUACAAAGGCUCCUUUAGUGAAAAGUAUGCCUUCUUUCCAGGGAUUAAAUUGGAAUGGGAUAAACGCUUGGCUGAGAAGCGAGAAGCUGAGCUAGGCUGCAAAACAUAGAACUUCAAAAGG
Molecule: long non-coding RNA, 523 nt
Organism: Morus notabilis
Lineage: Eukaryota; Viridiplantae; Streptophyta; Magnoliopsida; Rosales; Moraceae
Exons: 3
Source: RefSeq, a predicted model, not a curated record